RNAcentral lists this ribosomal RNA (527 nucleotides) under Fusarium sp. 082628A. RNAcentral's name for it is "eukaryotic LSU rRNA". The stretch from base 162 to 315 matches the Rfam family "5.8S ribosomal RNA". The record is from RNAcentral. Lineage: Eukaryota; Fungi; Ascomycota; Sordariomycetes; Hypocreales; Nectriaceae.
AGGGAUCAUUACCGAGUUAUACAACUCAUCAACCCUGUGAACAUACCUAAAACGUUGCUUCGGCGGGAACAGACGGCCCUGUAACAACGGGCCGCCCCCGCCAGAGGACCCCUAACUCUGUUUUUAUAAUGUUUUUCUGAGUAAACAAGCAAAUAAAUUAAAACUUUCAACAACGGAUCUCUUGGCUCUGGCAUCGAUGAAGAACGCAGCGAAAUGCGAUAAGUAAUGUGAAUUGCAGAAUUCAGUGAAUCAUCGAAUCUUUGAACGCACAUUGCGCCCGCCAGUAUUCUGGCGGGCAUGCCUGUUCGAGCGUCAUUACAACCCUCAGGCCCCCGGGCCUGGCGUUGGGGAUCGGCGGAAGCCCCCUGUGGGCACACGCCGUCCCUCAAAUACAGUGGCGGUCCCGCCGCAGCUUCCAUUGCGUAGUAGCUAACACCUCGCAACUGGAGAGCGGCGCGGCCAUGCCGUAAAACACCCAACUUCUGAAUGUUGACCUCGAAUCAGGUAGGAAUACCCGCUGAACUUAA